This is a non-coding RNA of Kuraishia capsulata CBS 1993, 74 nucleotides long. Lineage: Eukaryota; Fungi; Ascomycota; Pichiomycetes; Pichiales; Pichiaceae. The record is from Rfam.
GGUCCCUUGGCCCAGUUGGUUAAGGCGCCGUGCUAAUAACGCGGAGAUCAGCAGUUCGAUCCUGCUAGGGACCA